Molecule: long non-coding RNA, 317 nt
Organism: Trematomus bernacchii (emerald rockcod)
Lineage: Eukaryota; Metazoa; Chordata; Actinopteri; Perciformes; Nototheniidae
Exons: 2
Source: RefSeq, a predicted model, not a curated record
CAGAGCUGUUUUUUUACCGGACAUAUAAUGGUUAACUUCUGUGCCAUUGUUGGCUGCGGCAACAGAGGUGAUCGAAACAGGGGGCCGAAGUCAUUUUACAGGCUGCCGGCGGUUAUAACACACCAGGGUGAAGCAACACAUGAACUUUCAAAGCGUCGCCGGGAAAAAUGGCUCAAUAGGAUCGGACGGGAGGAUCUCAAACCAUCCAACCACAACUAUACUCGCGUUUGUGGGGAUCAUUUCACGUCAGGUAAACCAGUGGCACUUUUUGACAAAAAUCAUCCUGACUGGGCACCGUCUGUCAAAUUGGGCCACGA